This 460-nucleotide ribosomal RNA is filed under the name uncultured bacterium. RNAcentral's name for it is "partial 16S ribosomal RNA". It matches the Rfam family "Bacterial small subunit ribosomal RNA", at positions 338 to 795 of the family's 1533-position model. The record is from RNAcentral.
CCUACGGGAGGCUGCAGUGAGGAAUAUUGGUCAAUGGACGAGAGUCUGAACCAGCCACGUAGCGUGAAGGAUGACUGCCCUAUGGGUUGUAAACUUCUUUUAUAUGGGAAUAAAACGUUCCACGUGUGGGAUUUUGUAUGUACCAUAUGAAUAAGGAUCGGCUAACUCCGUGCCAGCAGCCGCGGUAAUACGGAGGGUCCGAGCGUUAUCCGGAUUUAUUGGGUUUAAAGGGAGCGUAGGUGGAUUGUUAAGUCAGUUGUGAAAGUUUGCGGCUCAACCGUAAAAUUGCAGUUGAAACUGGCAGUCUUGAGUACAGUAGAGGUGGGCGGAAUUCGUGGUGUAGCGGUGAAAUGCUUAGAUAUCACGAAGAACUCCGAUUGCGAAGGCAGUUCACUGGACUGCAACUGACACUGAGGCUCGAAAGUGUGGGUAUCAAACAGGAUUAGAUACCCCAGUAGUC